RNAcentral lists this long non-coding RNA (1359 nucleotides) under Mus spicilegus (steppe mouse). RNAcentral describes it as "lncRNA (ENSMSIG00000020666.1)". The record is from RNAcentral. Lineage: Eukaryota; Metazoa; Chordata; Mammalia; Rodentia; Muridae.
UUUUAAUAUAUAAAACCCUAUUUAAGCCAGGAGCAAUGACACAUACCUUUAAUCCCAGCAUUGGAAGGCAGAGGCAGAUAGAUCUCUGUGGGUUCCUCACAAGUCUAGUCUACAUAGUGAGUUCCAGGGCUGUGUAGAGAGACCCUGCUUACAAAAGAAAUUUAAGUAAAUAAAUAAAUACAUUUAAUCACUUAAUUAGUAAAAGAAAGGAAGAAAGCAGGUUUUUCUAGGUUGAGUGUGGAGUGUGAUGGGACUUGAGCUGCCUACUUUCACUGCCCUGGCGACAUUGUACAUUGUGCCCACAGUCAGCUCCCAUUGCUGUUUGUAGAUCCUAGGGAUUAGACGUCGGUAACACUGAAGGUCUCUGAAGUUCUGUAAAAAUCAGUAAUAUACUAAUUAAAAUAAGAAGUAAAGGCUGGAUGUGGCGGUUCAAUGUAGUGCUGCAAUCUCACCACGCAGGAAGCCAAGGUGGAAUGAGCAGGAAUUGGAGCCAGUCUGGAUUGCAUAGCAAGAGUCAGUUUCAAAGCAAAACAAAACAAUGAAGUGAGAUCUUAUUUACACAGGUUAAAGCCAAACAGCAAAUUUGUAUCAAAAUUAAAACAGCUUGAGAACCGCUGUGGGGUUCCAAAGACAAGUUGCCACCCAGCAGUGUCCUAACCUUCCCUGUGCCAAAGGAGACAGUGAUUCAGUGCUGUCCUUCCAGACCCGCACAGAUAACACAGAGAUGCAGUCCUCAGCGGAGGGCUUGGGCACGGAAGCAGGUCUGCAAAUCAUCUAUGGCAAGGAACACUCAAGUUGACUGGAGUCCGUGGUCUCCUGCUCUCUUUUCUGUUUGGUUUGGUAAUGUGCUUGAGAGUUGCUGAUGGCCUUUGAGACUGGGGCUUGAUCAAUCGAUACAACCUUGGCUGGCUUGGAAUUUGCUAUAGACCAGGCUGCCCUCAAACUCGUAGAGAUCUGCCUGCCUCUGCCUCCUGAUUAUCGGGAUUAAAGGUGUGCACUACUGUGCCGGCUUUACUUGUGUUUUAUCUAAAAACUGAUAGAAUAUGUGAAGUGGAAAUGUAAGGGUCCUUUGGAAAGUAGGCUGGAUCGUGUUUUGCUGGGCAAACACAUGAAGGAACAUUUUGUUGAAGUGGACACAGGUGUGAGAGGCUAAGGUAGACUCGUGAAGGAACGUUUCACUGAAGCAGACACAGGAGAGAGGAUGUUCUGCUAAAGCAAGCAUGUGAAAGGACACGUGAUGAAGGAUUCUUUGCUAAUGACAGGCAUGUAUUGGUUCACCUUACACUGUGUAGUUGAGCUGCAUUUGUGGGGAUGCCAUAAAGAGAAACAUACCUAAUAAACUUCUGGUGGUGUGUUGCA